GAUGAGAUUUCCCAUCGCGCGAAGCGAGUAAGACCCCUCGGAGAUGACGAGGUAGAUAGGUCUGGAGUGGAAGCGCAGUGAUGCGUGGAGCGACCAGAUCCUAAUCGGUCGAGGGCUUAACCAA
Molecule: ribosomal RNA, 124 nt
Filed under: Caldalkalibacillus uzonensis
Lineage: Bacteria; Bacillati; Bacillota; Bacilli; Caryophanales; Bacillaceae
Description: partial 23S ribosomal RNA
Rfam family: Bacterial large subunit ribosomal RNA
Source: RNAcentral